This 341-nucleotide ribosomal RNA is filed under the name uncultured cyanobacterium. Its description in RNAcentral is "bacterial SSU rRNA". It matches the Rfam family "Bacterial small subunit ribosomal RNA", at positions 112 to 489 of the family's 1533-position model. The record is from RNAcentral. Lineage: Bacteria; Bacillati; Cyanobacteriota.
UACACGUGAGAUUACUUAGAGGGAUAACAAUCGAACGAUGCUAUCCCAUAUGCCUUCGAGUGAAAUGGAUUUAUAUUUAUCCGCCUAGAGAGAAGCUCGCGGCUGAUUAGCUUGUUGGUAAGGUAAGAGCUUACCAAGGCGACGAUCAGUAUCUGGUUUGAGAGGACGAUCAGACACACUGGAACUGAGACACGGUCCAGACUCCUACGGGAGGCAGCAGUGGGGAAUUUUCCGCAAUGGGCGAAAGCNUGACGGAGCAAUACCGCGUGAGGGAAGACUGCCUAUGGGNNGUAAACCUCCNNUUUCAGGGAGGAAUAAAAUGACGUGUACCUGAAGAAUAA